Molecule: ribosomal RNA, 515 nt
Filed under: uncultured bacterium
Lineage: Bacteria
Description: partial 16S ribosomal RNA
Source: RNAcentral
GGAGUUAGCCGGUGCUUCUUCUGUGAGUGAUGUCCUUCCUGCCGGCUAUUAACCCGCAGGCCUUCUUCCUCACUGAAAGUGCUUUACAACCCGAAGGCCUUCUUCACACACGCGGCAUGGCUGGAUCAGGGUUGCCCCCAUUGUCCAAUAUUCCCCACUGCUGCCUCCCGUAGGAGUCUGGGCCGUGUCUCAGUCCCAGUGUGGCUGAUCAUCCUCUCAGACCAGCUACGGAUCGUCGCCUUGGUGAGCCGUUACCUCACCAACCAGCUAAUCCGACAUAGGCUCAUCCGAUAGCGCGAGGCCCGAAGGUCCCCCGCUUUCCCCCGUAGGGCGUAUGCGGUAUUAGCCUGGGUUUCCCCAGGUUAUCCCCCACUACCGGGCAGAUUCCUAUGCAUUACUCACCCGUCCGCCGCUCGCCACCAGGGAGCAAGCUCCCCGUGCUGCCGCUCGACUUGCAUGUGUUAGGCCUGCCGCCAGCGUUCAAUCUGAGCCAUANCAACACUGACUGNGNGGCG